AGAAAAUAGAGAGAAGGGAACAAUCAAUUUACAUGAAAGUAUAGCUAAAACAGCACUGCCCAAGAUCUGCCCAGGGUUAGAAAAUUGAGGAAAAUAAAAAUGUAAUUAUAAUAAUAAAAAUUAAAUAAAUACAAAGGGUGUACAAGGGGGUGGAGAAGUAAUUAAAAAAAAUAUUUUUUUUUGUAUGACCCAUCUGCUUCCUUAUGUAUCCCAAAAAUGUUACUCAUAACCUUAGCACCAGAGGAAAUAGAUCUAUCUUCAUCAUGUUGAUGGAAUUUUUCCUCUCAUGUAGACAAAUCAGAGACUGCUUUUUACAAUAAAUGUUAUAAAGGUGAAAGGGACUCGAAUUAAUUAGAACUUGUAAGAUUAAAAACAAAAGUCACUUUGUAAAAACCUGUCCACUUGGUUUAAUUUGUGGUUUGGAAUCUUGUGUGUGAUAUCCAUGUUGACUGUUUACUGGUCAUUUGGAUCACGUAAUAUGUGGGCUGAUAAACAAGGAGAAGUAGUCCGUGUGGAACACAGACCUUGACCCAUUACCUACAUGGCUACGAAGAAGGCCAGAGGGCAGAUUGUCAGAAAUCAAUAGUCAAAAUGUGACGCUAAAGGAUCGGGGGUGCAAAUGGUGUAAAAGGUCCACAGCAAAUAUAAUAAUAUAUUUAUAAUCAUUUAAUUAAUUUACACGCAAUAAAAACAAUUAAGUGCAUCAAACAGAACUUCAGUAAGAGAUUAAUCCUGAACUCAGUUCUAAUACUAAUAUUUAGAUUGGCAGUUCUUGAUGUCCAACUGUGCUAAAGGAACAAAGCACAAAUAAACACCCACACAUGAACUAGCAUUUCUGAUAUUUGCUUCUGAGAACUUUGUUUUAAUGCAUCACAAAAUGCCUGGACACUGCUGUAUGAUCCGGUAGAGAAAGAAAGGAAGAAAGAAACAUUACAAUGAGCACUCAACACUACAGUGACCAGAUGUGCACUUAAUGACACCUAGUGGAACUUCAAAGCCACUAGACUCACACACAAACUGAAGACAAAGUGGACCAAGACAUGGAGCAUGCUUUGUGCACUACAUUUGGAGCUUCACUGAGCAGAAAAGGGUCUCAUCAGAUGUCCCUGGGAUGCUUGUUACGAUAGAUGGCAUCAUGAACUCCAAGAAGUACUAGAAGAUGAAAAUCUGUCUGCUUCUGCCAAGUAACUAGGUUGGGGUUGGACCUUCCAGCAGGACAAUGAUCCAUAACAUACAUCCAAAUCCACAUAAAAAUGGUUAAAUGACAAGCUGUUGAUAAGGCCGUCCCAAUCUCUGACCUAAACCCCACUGAGAACCUCAGGAGGAGAGUCCACAGGAGAUGACCUAAGACCCUGGAGGAGCUGGAGAGGUCAGUGUGUGUGGGUGACUGUGGGAGGAUCAGAGUGUGGCUUUGUCUCUGCCUCGUGAUUGGCCGGGUAGGACGGCGGCUGUACCUCUUCAUCUUUCUCGCGGAUCAGUUUUUCUGUCUCUGCAUCCGUUACAUUGGGAGCUGUAGGAAUGGGGAAGUCCGUGCCACUCUCUCUAAUCUGUGAGGAAGAGGCUGUUGACCAGGGUGGACUUGCCCAAUCCAGACUCACCUAAGAGAACACAAAGGGACCCAAUGAGAAGAAACAGAAAGAGUGGGGCACCCCAAAGAAACACAAGACUCCCCAGUAGAAUUCCAAUCAGGUUUAUUUUACCUGCUACCAUUAAAGUGAAGUCGAAGCCCUUUUUCACAGA
Molecule: long non-coding RNA, 1740 nt
Organism: Ictalurus punctatus (channel catfish)
Lineage: Eukaryota; Metazoa; Chordata; Actinopteri; Siluriformes; Ictaluridae
Exons: 5
Source: RefSeq, a predicted model, not a curated record